AUGGCGGCCCCCGGCGAGUGUGGACAGCCGCUUGAGGAGGUGCCUGGGCAGAGCCGACAGCUCACCAUGGUGCGGCGGGGCCGCGGCGGGGACACCGACUCGGACAGCGAUGAGACCGUCGUGGAGGGCUCUGUGACGGAGAGUGAUGUGGAGGAAGAGGAGUUCUGUAAGAGGAGGUUGGCCUUUCCUAAUUUGGACAUAGCUUUAACCAUAAGUAUUUCUAAAGGAGAUCAUUCUCCAGAAAUCUGUUUUAUACAGAAAUUUGAUGACCACACAUACUGUCAGAAAGAAGACGAGAUAAAUACAAUACUUCAAGAGGCAUACACAUGUGACCAGUCUCAGUCUCUACUGCAGAAUUGGAUAAAGUGUUCAUCACCUACUGAAAGUAUUUCUAAAUCUGGUUUUUCACUAAAUGCUGCAGUAGAAGAACAGCAACUUAAUUCUGUAGGUAUCAAAUUGAAUGGAUUUCAAAAGGAUUCAGAAGAAAAGAUUACACAAAAAUUAAGUAAUGAAGAUCUCUCUCCAGAAAUAAGCCUCUGUCUAGAUGGCCCUGUGGAAGACAUAACAGUUCUAAAUGAACAGGCACCAGAAGAUAAAUUUCAACAUGUUUUAGAUGAUUGCCACAUCUGUGACAAUCAUCUUGUGACCUGUGUGACCCCUGUUGACACUGAUAACAUAGUAGAGGAGCAUUCCCUUAACAAUAAUACAAACCUUUCUCUGGCAUCCCCAAGGGAGAUUUUCAUGGAUGUAUUCACUGAACAGACUACACAGACUGGUGGAUUUGAUGGCAGUGCUAUGUUAAGAUCCCCUGGUGAUUCUGAGAGUCUUAAAGUGAUAAACCCAUUGCCUGACAUGUUAGAGUGUCAGGGUCAUGCCUUUUCCAUUGAUCUGUCAGCAGCUGAGAGCAGUGAUGCCCUGCCAGUAGAGCUUGUGAGGCCUCUGGAUGCCUUGUCAGGAUCUGUGGUACAACCUGUCACUCCUGUAGUGCCAGCUGAGAGACAUCUUAACACCGAGGGAGAGCAACUAAGUUCAGAACCCAGUACUCCCCACUUAGAUGAUGACUGUACACAAAUAACAAACGUGAUGGACCCUCAACUUGCUACAAGUCAGGCAGAAGGAAUAAAUGCCUUCAGAGGAUCUGACUCUCAGAGGACAACAAUUGAGCAACAGAGAGAGAAAGAAGUAAUUCCAGAUUACUGGGAUGCCACCUCUAGUAAAAAGCAAACUGUUGAGGGACAUUCACAUUCAGUAGAGCUUACAGCAUGUGCAGAAACAGCCCCAACAAUAUCAAGUAAAAUUCAGAAGUCUACUUCUAAAGACAAGCAGAAUCUUGAAACCAGAAUGUGGCAAGAAAUAAUUCUGAAUGAGUUUACAGAAGCUAAUCAGAGGAAGAGCAAGAGAAUUGACAACAAACGGAAACGAGAAGCCUUUGGUAAGGGUCUGACUCGCCCUCUUACGCUUUCAACAAUCCACAGGAGAAAUAUGUAUGGUGAGAAUUUACUGCAUAGAGCUGUUACUCAUCAAGAUGUAGACCUUGUAUGUAAGAUCAUAAAAGCUGGUGGAAAUGUAAAUGCGAAGGAUUAUGCUGGCUUGACUGCACUACAUAUAGCAAGUGUGGAAGGCUUUUAUGGGAUAGCAAAUCUGCUUUUGAAAGCAGGUGCUGAUGUUAAUGCUACACAAAAGGAACAGAUAACACCGUUGCAAGAUGCAGUUAAAGAAGGCCAUUAUGAGAUAGUGAACUUACUACUUUGGUAUGGAGCUGAUCCCUUAUUAAAAAAUAAGAUGGGAAGGUGUGCAUUAGAAGAAGCCUCUGACCCAUCUAUGAGGAAACUUCUUACAACUUAUAUAGAAAAAUCCAGGGGAUAUUCAGUAUCAGGAACACCCAAUGUGCCAUUAGAAUCUACCAGAAAAGAAGCUGUAAUUGUACCUGCUACCUGUAAUUCAAGAACUGAAGGAAAGAAGAAAAUCAAGAGAAAUGAAAAAGGAGAAACUCAGCUGCAUAUUGCUGCUAAGAGAGGAGAUUUAUCCUUGGUGAAGACUCUAAUAUCAUCUGGAAUUUGUGUUAAUGAACAGGAUCAUGCAGGUUGGACAGCAAUUCAUGAAGCUUCCAAUGGGGGAUUUACUGAUGUCAUCUUAGAAUUACUGAAGGCAGGUGCUGAUGUCAACAGCAGAAGUCUGGAUGGUGUUUUACCAAUACACGAUGCUGUUUCUGGCAAUUAUUCGGAGGCAGUCAGGAUUCUACUUCAACAUGGAGCGAAUCCCUUUGAGAGGAACGGAGAAGGGAAAAGUGCUGUGGAUCAAGCUUGUGAUGAAGAAAUGAAAGAACUUCUGAGGUCUUACGGUGCUGUGGACUCUGUACUUCCUGUUCCAGCUACUGAAGUUACUGAGAGGAGGUCAAAACAUCAUUGCUUCGACUACUGUAAAAAUGAUGAUGCAGCUUUGGAGUCACAGUGUGAGAAAUACAGUGUGGAGUCUGUUGCUGCCAUACAAGAUACAGAAAAGAAGCAGAAAGAACUGUUGCUAUAUGAACUGAGAACUUCCAAAGAUGCAGAUGUAUAUAUACAAAGGCUAUCUCAGAUACAAGAUGCUUUGAAUGAAAUGCUAGCAAGCCAGAAAACAGAGAGGGAUGCCCUUGCUAAAAAAUACAGGGCUUCAGUGGAAUCUUUCAAAAAAGGAGCACUGAGGAAACAAUUAAUUAACCUUGCUUCUAGGCAAAAGAGUCUGUUAACUCUUGCCCAAAACCAGGAAAAAUUAGUGCAGAAAAUACAAAAUUACAGGAAAAAAAGGCAAAUAUUCAGUUCAUCAUCUUCAGAGAAGCAAAGCUCAAACUUAGUUAUUUUCCAUGGAAAUGAUGUAAGACAAAGUUUAACUGCUGAUGAAAUCAUGUGUCCUGAUGUAGUUACAUUUAGUAUGGGGCUUGGUGCCAGCAUGCCUAAUGGAAACAGAGUAGGAGCACAUGUCUCUUUAGAAAAUAGAUUUUUGGCGCAGGAAUGCAGCCAGCACCCAUACAUCUGCUUGGAUGAGACAGGAGCAAAUAAAGAAGCAAUUAGAAGCAAAGAGGCUUCUGAUCAUGCUUUGGCAUCUGAAAACAGCGUAAGAGAAUAUCCCUUUGACAACAUGUCAAAGGUGACAAACACUGCAGAAGUGGUGACAUUGCCUUCAGAACCUACUGUUUCCACUGCUAAAACAAAGUGCUCACAGCAAAAAGAUCAUGUAGCAUUUGCAGGACAAGGAAACAAGUCUUUAAAUCCUACUUCAGUGACCAACACAUUAAAUAUUGUAGAACCCCGAAGCACUGCUGUGAAUGAGAAUGCCUGUCAGCCAGCCAGUGACUACCAGCAGGUUAUUACUCAUGGGAAUCUACACAGAUACGAAAACAAGAAAGAAGCUUUUCAGCAGCAGCAGCAAGUAAAUUUUUUAGCACCUAUGAAGAACUUCCCUAAUACUUCGCAGCAAAUGGUCUUUUGGAGUAGUGAGAAUUCAGUUAAUACCAACUUGGUGCUUGCAAAUCUUACCUCAAAUACAGAUUCUCUAGUAAAUGUCAGUGAGAAAUCUUCACAGAGCUAUAGUAACCAGGAGUGGGAACAAAAACAAGUGAGGUAUAGACGGAAAAGUAAGAGAAAGCUUCAAUUGAUAGAUCUACUUGAAUUGGGAAGGAUUAAGCCAGGAGAAGAUGUUUUAGAAUUCAAACUGCAGGUAAUUGUUGAGGUCUAAUAAUGUUAAUAUUAGCAUAUAAGGAAAAAAACCCACACACUAAAAUGGGGAAACAGUAGUUCUCAUAGUUCAGUCUGCACCUUCAGCACUCAUUAUUGAAUGUUUUUGUUUCUUGGUUACAGGUAAGUGUCUAUGAAUUUUAAAGGAAAAUGCUAUUGAUGAAGUAUUUUAUCGGUCCAUAACUGUAACACACAGACUAUUGCAUGUGUAAAUUUGUGUUUAACUUUGCAUUAUCAGUUUGGUAAUGUUUCGUAUUACUAGAACCAGAAGGAAGGAGAGGAAAUGUAAAGGUUUUGUGAUUUAAUGUGAUUCCUGGAAGCAAGUCCCUCAAAUAAAGAAUUGUGACAUGAAGGGUUUCAUAGACAUAAAUACUGCAAAAUUUCUUGCUUGUGUGCUAGCUGGUUCUUUAAUUUUACAGUCUGGUAUGACCCAUAUUUGAAUUAAAAAAAAAAAUAAAAAGAAACAUCUUUUUAAUAGAAAAGCAUGUCCAUGUCUCUCCAAACACAGAGCAGAUUUGCAAGGCAGCUGGCAGGGGCCUGGUUGAGUAUUGAGCAAAUGAGGGAAUUACUGACUGAAUUCCCAGAUGAGAGCUAGUUAUUUGCAGGGCAGCAUAUUGAUAAAAACAUGAAAGGUUCUCUUCAGCCAACUUACCAGGUGCACUUAAUACAGAAAGGACUCCUUUUUCUACACCCGUAAUCUGCUCAGGAAUGCUUUUGUGCUGAGAGUUGUCAUUUCUUGAGGUCUUGUGUUGGUAACAAGAUAGUGUAAGCCACAAGGCUCUACGUUGGACCUUAUGAUAGGUGUGUAGACAUGCCUUUUCUUUAAAGAAUGUGUAAUAUUCCUUUGAACUGCAAGAUGACUAAUUUGAAGGGUGAAGAAUUCAGUAUGCUUACUGUCAUUGCUCAAGACAGUUGUCUUUGAUACCAACUUGAUGGACGUGGAUCUUAAGGAAUCGUAACCCCUUGUUGAAGUACUGCUGUUCGGAGUGUAGAAAAGUCAGUGAUCUUUACUAGGAUGAAAAUGACACUGGUUUAUGUGUUGUAAGACAGUACCACAGAGAUUGCAGUUUAGAAACCAGUAUCUGUUACAUUGCAAAUUUCAUCAUUAUAGAGAUGUACUUGGCAACGUACAGCUGGUACAUAGUCCAUACUUAUGGUUAGCUUUGGGCAGGCUGAAUGCAGUUGUUGAAUUCUGUAGGCCUAGGCUGUGAAACUGUGAACUGGAUUGAGUGCUCAUCAAAACAUUUGGGUUAAUUAUCUUAAUUUAGAUUCUUACACCUCAAGCCAGUGGGUAUGGUAGGAGGUGGUUUGAUAUUUGCUGGUGGAUCAUCCUCUUAUUCUAAUUUAUUUAUUUAACCUCAUUCAUGGUAAGUGACCUUACUAAGUUCUAAUAGAAUUUAUCAACAGCUGAUUUUUGCAUUGUUUAGCUCUGUCCGUCUAACGAGGACCAAUAUGACAAAACCAAAACUUGCUCUGUUAUAAAAAAUUGUUUAACAGUUAUUUAUUUUGCUCAGUUUUAAACAGUUAUUAAGCACAAUAAGUUGUGCUUUUGGAGGUUGUGUUUGCAGAACUGAGCUGUAUUUGCAUUAUCAAAGGAGCAUUAACAAUAAGUUCUUUUAUACUUAAUUUUGCAUAAGAUAAAACUGUCAGGUUCCUCCUAAAACAUGUAAAUUAUAUCCCUUGAUUUAAGGGAAAUUUUUAUGCAAAUAUGUUUCAUCUUUGCAUUUCGCGGGAACUUCACUGUGAUGUGCAUGUUCCACAUGGGUAAGGCAGAUUGCAUUUGAGUAGCAGUUCCUUGUUCCACAGACUUGCCUCCUGAAUUUACUCAUAAAGCUACAAUCUUAAAGAAUGGCAAGAUCAGAACCAGUAAAGGGCAAAUUCUACAGAAUCCAGUUCAAUGGGUUAAAGACCUACUAGGAAGUG
RNA transcript from Myiozetetes cayanensis, 5636 nucleotides. It is a transcript of the gene named ankyrin repeat domain 31, with no coding region annotated. Lineage: Eukaryota; Metazoa; Chordata; Aves; Passeriformes; Tyrannidae. The record is from RefSeq and is a predicted model, not a curated record. The transcript has 20 exons.